CGAACGCUGGCGACGUGCUUAACACAUGCAAGUCGAACGGAAAGGCCCUGCUUUUGUGGGGUGCUCGAGUGGCGAACGGGUGAGUAACACGUGAGUAACCUGCCCUUGACUUUGGGAUAACUUCAGGAAACUGGGGCUAAUACCGGAUAGGAGCUCCUGCUGCAUGGUGGGGGUUGGAAAGUUUCGGCGGUUGGGGAUGGACUCGCGGCUUAUCAGCUUGUUGGUGGGGUAGUGGCUUACCAAGGCUUUGACGGGUAGCCGGCCUGAGAGGGUGACCGGCCACAUUGGGACUGAGAUACGGCCCAGACUCCUACGGGAGGCAGCAGUGGGGAAUAUUGCACAAUGGGCGGAAGCCUGAUGCAGCAACGCCGCGUGCGGGAUGACGGCCUUCGGGUUGUAAACCGCUUUCGCCUGUGACGAAGCGUGAGUGACGGUAAUGGGUAAAGAAGCACCGGCUAACUACGUG
RNAcentral lists this ribosomal RNA (466 nucleotides) under uncultured bacterium. RNAcentral's name for it is "partial 16S ribosomal RNA". It matches the Rfam family "Bacterial small subunit ribosomal RNA", at positions 30 to 507 of the family's 1533-position model. The record is from RNAcentral.